RNAcentral lists this ribosomal RNA (497 nucleotides) under uncultured bacterium. Its description in RNAcentral is "partial 16S ribosomal RNA". It matches the Rfam family "Bacterial small subunit ribosomal RNA", at positions 28 to 507 of the family's 1533-position model. The record is from RNAcentral.
GAUGAACGCUGGCGGCGUGCCUAAUACAUGCAAGUCGAGCGAACGGACGAGAAGCUUGCUUUUCUGAUGUUAGCGGCGGACGGGUGAGUAACACGUGGAUAACCUACCUAUAAGACUGGGAUAACUUCGGGAAACCGGAGCUAAUACCGGAUAAUAUUUUGAACCGCAUGGUUCAAAAGUGAAAGACGGUCUUGCUGUCACUUAUAGAUGGAUCCGCGCUGCAUUAGCUAGUUGGUAAGGUAACGGCUUACCAAGGCGACGAUGCAUAGCCGACCUGAGAGGGUGAUCGGCCACACUGGAACUGAGACACGGUCCAGACUCCUACGGGAGGCAGCAGUAGGGAAUCUUCCGCAAUGGGCGAAAGCCUGACGGAGCAACGCCGCGUGAGUGAUGAAGGUCUUCGGAUCGUAAAACUCUGUUAUUAGGGAAGAACAUAUGUGUAAGUAACUGUGCACAUCUUGACGGUACCUAAUCAGAAAGCCACGGCUAACUACGUG